GACGAGCGCUGGCGGCGUGCUUAACACAUGCAAGUCGAACGGUGAACGAGGGAGCUUGCUCCCUCCGGAUCAGUGGCGAACGGGUGAGUAACACGUGAGCAAUCUGCCCCGAACUCUGGGAUAAGCGUUGGAAACGACGUCUAAUACCGGAUACGACGCGGGAGGGCAUCCUCUCCGCGUGGAAAGAACUUCGGUUCGGGAUGAGCUCGCGGCCUAUCAGCUUGUUGGUGAGGUAACGGCUCACCAAGGCGACGACGGGUAGCCGGCCUGAGAGGGUGACCGGCCACACUGGGACUGAGACACGGCCCAGACUCCUACGGGAGGCAGCAGUGGGGAAUAUUGCACAAUGGGCGCAAGCCUGAUGCGGCAACGCCGCGUGAGGGACGACGGCCUUCGGGUUGUAAACCUCUUUUAGCAGGGAAGAAGCGAAAGUGACGGUACCUGCAGAAAAAGCACCGGCUAACUACGUG
This 470-nucleotide ribosomal RNA is filed under the name uncultured bacterium. RNAcentral describes it as "partial 16S ribosomal RNA". It matches the Rfam family "Bacterial small subunit ribosomal RNA", at positions 28 to 507 of the family's 1533-position model. The record is from RNAcentral.